RNAcentral lists this ribosomal RNA (401 nucleotides) under uncultured bacterium. Its description in RNAcentral is "bacterial SSU rRNA". It matches the Rfam family "Bacterial small subunit ribosomal RNA", at positions 958 to 1359 of the family's 1533-position model. The record is from RNAcentral.
AACGCGAAGAACCUUACCAGGGCUUGACAUGUCGCGAAUCCGGCUGAAAGGUGGGAGUGCCGUAAGGAGCGCGAACACAGGUGGUGCAUGGCGGUCGUCAGCUCGUGUCGUGAGAUGUUGGGUUAAGUCCCGCAACGAGCGCAACCCUCGUCCUUAGUUGCCAUUAUUAAGUUAGGCACUCUAGGGAGACUGCCGGUGACAAACCGGAGGAAAGUGGGGAUGACGUCAAGUCAGCAUGCCCCUUACGUCCUGGGCUACACACGUACUACAAUGGGGGAGACAAAGGGGAGCAACCCCCCAAGAGCAAGCAAAUCCCAUCAAACUCCGUCUCAGUUUAGAUUGCAGUCUGCAACUCGCCUGCAUGAAGUAGGAAUCGCUAGUAAUCGCUGAUCAGCAUGCCG